UACGUAGGGAGCGAGCGUUGUCCGGAAUUACUGGGCGUAAAGGGCGUGCAGGCGGCACUACAAGUAUGCUGUGAAAGAACACCGCUUAACGGUGGAGGGUCAGCGUAAACUGUAGAGCUAGAGAGGUAGAGAGGUUAGCGGAAUUCCCGGUGUAGUGGUGAAAUGCGUAGAUAUCGGGAGGAACACCAGAGGCGAAAGCGGCUAACUGGCUACAAUCUGACGCUGAGGCGCGAAGGCUAGGGGAGCAAACAGG
RNAcentral lists this ribosomal RNA (253 nucleotides) under uncultured bacterium. Its description in RNAcentral is "partial 16S ribosomal RNA". It matches the Rfam family "Bacterial small subunit ribosomal RNA", at positions 524 to 776 of the family's 1533-position model. The record is from RNAcentral.